RNAcentral lists this transfer RNA (68 nucleotides) under Murex trapa. RNAcentral describes it as "tRNA-Asn". Lineage: Eukaryota; Metazoa; Mollusca; Gastropoda; Neogastropoda; Muricidae. The record is from RNAcentral.
UAAGUGAAAGCCAAAGAGAGGCACCUAUCUGUUAAUUAGGAGAUUGUAAGGUAGUUUUACUCACUUAG